Small nuclear RNA from Toxorhynchites rutilus septentrionalis, 140 nucleotides. RefSeq annotates it as U4 spliceosomal RNA. NCBI's taxonomy places the organism in Eukaryota, Metazoa, Arthropoda, Insecta, Diptera, Culicidae. The transcript has a single exon. The record is from RefSeq and is a predicted model, not a curated record.
UGCUUUGCGCAGUUGGUGAUAUCGUAAACAAUGAGGUUUUACCGAGGUGCGACUAUUACUAGAAGGAAAAUGUUUCAGAAGACACUGUAAAAUUAUCUCGAGCUGUAUUGUUGUUAGAAAUUUUUUUUAAAGCGUCCAUU